RNAcentral lists this ribosomal RNA (497 nucleotides) under uncultured bacterium. RNAcentral's name for it is "partial 16S ribosomal RNA". It matches the Rfam family "Bacterial small subunit ribosomal RNA", at positions 28 to 507 of the family's 1533-position model. The record is from RNAcentral.
GAUGAACGCUGGCGGCGUGCCUAAUACAUGCAAGUCGAGCGAACAGACGAGGAGCUUGCUCCUCUGACGUUAGCGGCGGACGGGUGAGUAACACGUGGAUAACCUACCUAUAAGACUGGGAUAACUUCGGGAAACCGGAGCUAAUACCGGAUAAUAUAUUGAACCGCAUGGUUCAAUAGUGAAAGACGGUUUUGCUUUCACUUAUAGAUGGAUCCGCGCCGCAUUAGCUAGUUGGUAAGGUAACGGCUUACCCAGGCAACGAUGCGUAGCCGACCUGAGAGGGUGAUCGGCCACACUGGAACUGAGACACGGUCCAGACUCCUACGGGAGGCAGCAGUAGGGAAUCUUCCGCAAUGGGCGAAAGCUUGACGGAGCAACGCCGCGUGAGUGAUGAAGGUCUUCGGAUCGUAAAACUCUGUUAUUAGGGAAGAACAAAUGUGUAAGUAACUAUGCACGUCUUGACGGUACCUAAUCAGAAAGCCACGGCUAACUACGUG